RNAcentral lists this ribosomal RNA (480 nucleotides) under uncultured Christiangramia sp. Its description in RNAcentral is "bacterial SSU rRNA". It matches the Rfam family "Bacterial small subunit ribosomal RNA", at positions 28 to 505 of the family's 1533-position model. Lineage: Bacteria; Pseudomonadati; Bacteroidota; Flavobacteriia; Flavobacteriales; Flavobacteriaceae. The record is from RNAcentral.
GAUGAACGCUAGCGGCAGGCCUAACACAUGCAAGUCGAACGGUAACAGGUCCUUCGGGACGCUGACGAGUGGCGCACGGGUGCGUAACGCGUAUACAAUCUGCCUUUAAGCGGGAAAUAGCCCAUGGAAACGUGGAUUAAUGUCCCAUAGUAUAUAAGAGUCACCUGGCUUUUAUAUUAAACAUUUAUGGCUUAAAGAUGAGUAUGCGUCCUAUUAGUUAGUUGGUAAGGUAACGGCUUACCAAGACGUCGAUAGGUAGGGGUCCUGAGAGGGAGAUCCCCCACACUGGUACUGAGACACGGACCAGACUCCUACGGGAGGCAGCAGUGAGGAAUAUUGGACAAUGGGGGUAACCCUGAUCCAGCCAUGCCGCGUGCAGGAAGACUGCCCUAUGGGUUGUAAACUGCUUUUAUACAGGAAGAAACACCUCUACGUGUAGGGGCUUGACGGUACUGUAUGAAUAAGGAUCGGCUAACUCCG